AUUGAACGCUGGCGGCAGGCCUAACACAUGCAAGUCGAACGAGUGGCGGACGGGUGAGUAAUGUCUGGGAAACUGCCCGAUGGAGGGGGAUAACUACUGGAAACGGUAGCUAAUACCGCAUACCAUCGGAUGUGCCCAGAUGGGAUGAGCUAGUAGGUGGGGUAACGGCUCACCAAGGCGACGAUCCCUAGCUGGUCUGAGAGGAUGAUCAGCCACACUGGGACUGAGACACGGGCCAGACUCCUACGGGAGGAAGCAGUGGGGAAUAUUGAGCAAGGGGCGAAAGCCGGAUGCAGCCAUGCCGCGUGUAUGAAGAAGGCCUUCGGGUUGUAAAGUACUUUCAGCGAGGAGGCGUUAUUCGCAGAAGAAGCACCGGCUAACUCCGUGCCAGCAGCCGCGGUAAUUC
Molecule: ribosomal RNA, 406 nt
Filed under: uncultured bacterium
Lineage: Bacteria
Description: partial 16S ribosomal RNA
Rfam family: Bacterial small subunit ribosomal RNA
Source: RNAcentral